GUGGGGAAUUUUGGACAAUGGGCGCAAGCCUGAUCCAGCAAUGCCGCGUGCAGGAAGAAGGCCUUCGGGUUGUAAACUGCUUUUGUACGGAACGAAACGGUCCGGGUUAAUACCCUGGGCUAAUGACGGUACCGUAAGAAUAAGCACCGGCUAACUACGUGCCAGCAGCCGCGGUAAUACGUAGGGUGAAAGCGUUAAUCGGAAUUACUGGGCGUAAAGCGUGCGCAAGCGGUUUUGUAAGACAGGCGUGAAAUCCCCGGGCUCAACCUGGGAAUUGCGCUUGGGACUGCAAGGCUGGAGUGCAGCAGAGGGGGAUGGAAUUCCGAGUGUAGCAGUGAAAUGCGUAGAUAUGCGGAGGAACACCGAUGGCGAAGGCAAUCCCCUGGGCCUGCACUGACGCUCAUGCACGAAAGCGUGGGGAGCAAACAGGAUUAGAAACCCUAGUAGUCC
RNAcentral lists this ribosomal RNA (450 nucleotides) under uncultured bacterium. Its description in RNAcentral is "partial 16S ribosomal RNA". It matches the Rfam family "Bacterial small subunit ribosomal RNA", at positions 354 to 796 of the family's 1533-position model. The record is from RNAcentral.